GUCAACUUCCAAGUGGUCCACUCCCAGCUUCUAGCAGUUAGAGGCUUAGGACACCCAGAGCAUGGAGUUCCAUCUUCCUUCUGAAACACAGCUCAGGAAAACUCUGGAACGGGAUCUGUUUCAAGUAAGUGGUCUGGGGAAAGAGCAGGGCCAAUGGCCUCCUGUUCAUGAGAUCUGAGAGUGUAGAGUCUUGGUGUGUUCAUAUCGGUCCAGAAGCCUUUCAUUAUGCACUCACACUAGGCUUUUCCUCCUGAGAUGCAGAUGAGCCUGCUGCCACUUCUCCUUUUGUUCUUGGCUUCAAGGCAAACUGUACCUUAAGCGCAAGUCAAAGCUUCUAACCAGAGGUGGUCAUUUACCUGUAGGAAUCUAGCGGUGCCAGUUAUUACAACCUCACCAGAAGUUUUUACCAUGCAAGGGGAUCAGUACAUCAGAGUUUUCCAGAUUUUACUUUCCUGAGUGGUCUGAAGAAAGAUUUUGAUCAGUGGGAUGCUCUUGUAGAUGGCGAAGGACAUAAUGUCAUUCCUGGAACCAACAUUGAUCUACCCUCAACUCAGCCUGAAUCACUAGAAUGAAGAAACUGAUAAUACCGUGCCUUAGUAGUACUGCUGGUCAUCUACUUCCCACAGCUCCAGCGUUCUUCUUUCUCUUGGCAGUCUCAUUGCACAUUGAUAAAAGAGUUGCAGGGGUUUAAAUUCAUACCAGCCUAUAAACUUAUUCUUUAAAAUACUGUAAUAAACUUUUGCUUUCUACCCAUUAAAUAUUAAAUCAGCUAUUGGAUAGAUGUCUGGCUCUAAAUUAGGAAAGAAGCAGUGUUACCUAGUGUUUACAUCAGGCAACUUUUGUUCUGGCAAGAGUUGGGGCAAAAUGUUUAACCUCUCUGCUCUUCAGCAUCUCCAUCUUUAACAUGGAGACAAUGCCUAACCAGCAUAUCAAAUGCUCUGAGCUCUCCAGCUGUAGAGUGCUACAUAAAUACUGAAAAAAAAAAUUAGUAGGCCUACGUUAACUUGACUUCAAGAAUACCAGACGGGAAGCCCAGAUUCAGUUUCUUAAGAUUCUGAUCCCAAAUGGAGAUCUGUUGUAAAAAUCCAUUUCCACCAACCACCAGCACCACUGGAUGCCUCCUGAGAGCAACUGUUCUUGGGAGAGUUCCUGUAAGAUUUUUGGAAGAUUGGCUCUUCUUGUGAAGUUUCAGUUCCAUCUGAACUGCAAACUGAAGGAAGGCUCUUUCUAGUUUUGGAUUUGACCCAGAACCAAAAUUGCCAGGACAGAUUGGGAUCUAGGGACUUGAAUCACAGUUCUGCCUCCCAAAAUUCAAACCAGUUUGGAUUGUUGGUGCCACAUAUGGUAUGUUUAGUAAUUAUAUACUUUAAUAACUGAUUCUGUUUUUGAGAAGCCACACUGCACAUUCUUAAGCAUUCCUGCCAUGCUCUAGGAAACCAAAACUGCACACAAAUUAGCUGAAAUGUUUUCCCUCAAUGAGGGACAAUGGAAGACUAGUAGAAUUUCUUGUCAAGAUUACAAAGCACAUGGAGCACUUGGGUUGGAUUUUCCAAAGCAGCUUAGUGACACGAGCACAAGUCCUCUAAAAGUCAAUGGGACUUGUGCACCUUCUCCAUCCAGCUUUUGCCUCCUUUGUAAACAUCAUUUGGGGAUGAGGAUGAUCCUGGAGAGAAAACUCAACUCUCGAGGCAGCAUACUCUUCAUUUUUAAGAGUAAUUCUUUUGUGUUUAUAUACAUUUUCCUGCUUUGUAAAAAUGCCAUCUCACCAUACUGUGAUGUGCACUAUUACUAUUAGGGAUGCUUUUUUACAUGUUAUAAGAAAACUGUAGCCUAGUUCCAGGACAAGUUGCAGUUUUCUGAUAUUGUGCACGCCACUCCAAUACAAAUCUAUGUUUUCAACCAUAAACAAGCUCUUGAAUUGGAAUUUGCUGUACAAAGGAAAAUAGAAAAGUUUAUUUUUAAGCUACAUUAUCUCCAACUUAAAAGUGUGCUUCCUUCCCCUCAAGGGGUUAUUCUGUGUCUGUUAGACCUAAGGAGCUCUCCUUUUUAAUUCCCCCCAAAUAAACAUCUCCUCCCUCACAGAAUCACUAUUCUGGCAAAGGACAACUGAACUCCUUUCAUAGAGACAUUAGCAGUCAGAGGAAGAGAGCUUUAAGACCAUGUCUGUCUAUUGCACAGAUAGAGUACUGCUCCCCCUCAGUAGAGAAUCUGUGGAGUGACCUAGGGUAGGGCAUUAGCCCCGCUGCUGUGAUAAAAUUUCAUUUUUGAGAUUGCCAAGCAGUCAUUAUUAGUGUUAUGUACAUGAGUUCCCCAGCUACAUUACCACCUACUAGAGAUGGUCUAUUCCCAGUUCUGCCCAUGGCAUUGUCACCUUCCCCUUGCUCCCACCCUGCUAUUUGGCACAAGUAAUUGGCCCACAUACUUCCUAGUUGAUAACAUUUAGAAUGCUAUAGCUACAAUACCAUCUGCAUGAUCAGCCACUGUCCUUUCCCUUCUAUCUUCUCUAGAAGGCAUCAUCCGAAAGUUUUGUUUUCAUAGCUGUGGCAAGGAGUAGCUAUAGUAUGCGUAGGCUAUGUCCACACUACAGACCUUCCAGCA
Molecule: long non-coding RNA, 2598 nt
Organism: Gopherus evgoodei (Goodes thornscrub tortoise)
Lineage: Eukaryota; Metazoa; Chordata; Testudines; Testudinidae
Exons: 4
Source: RefSeq, a predicted model, not a curated record